This 51-nucleotide ribosomal RNA is filed under the name Psilocybe serbica var. arcana. RNAcentral's name for it is "Psilocybe arcana partial 28S large subunit ribosomal RNA". Lineage: Eukaryota; Fungi; Basidiomycota; Agaricomycetes; Agaricales; Agrocybaceae. The record is from RNAcentral.
GACAAUUUGACCUCAAAUCAGGUAGGACUACCCGCUGAACUUAAGCAUAUC